GUCGAGCGAAGCACUUGGUUUGAAGUUUUCGGAUGGAGAACCAUUUGACUGAGCGGCGGACGGGUGAGUAACGCGUGGGGAACCUGCCUCAUACAGGGGAAUAACAGUUAGAAAUGACUGCUAAUGCCGCAUAAGCGCACAGUGUCGCAUGACACGGUGUGAAAAACUCCGGUGGUAUGAGAUGGCCCCGCGUCUGAUUAGGCAGUUGGCGGGGUAACGGCCCACCAAACCGACGAUCAGUAGCCGACCUGAGAGGGUGACCGGCCACAUUGGGACUGAGACACGGCCCAAACUCCUACGGGAGGCAGCAGUGGGGAAUAUUGCACAAUGGGGGAAACCCUGAUGCAGCGACGCCGUGUGGGUGACGAAGUAUUUCGGUAUGUAAAGCCCUAUCAGCAGGGAAGAAGAUGACAGUACCUGACUAAGAAGCCCCGGCUAACUACGUGCCAGCAGCCGCGGUAAUACGUAGGGGGCAAGCGUUAUCCGGAUUUACUGGGUGUAAAGGGAGCGUAGGUGGCAUGGCAAGCCAGAAGUGAAAACCCGGGGCUUAACCC
This 554-nucleotide ribosomal RNA is filed under the name uncultured bacterium. RNAcentral describes it as "bacterial SSU rRNA". It matches the Rfam family "Bacterial small subunit ribosomal RNA", at positions 61 to 615 of the family's 1533-position model. The record is from RNAcentral.